This 220-nucleotide unclassified non-coding RNA is filed under the name plant metagenome. RNAcentral describes it as "partial contains small subunit ribosomal RNA, internal transcribed spacer 1, and 5.8S ribosomal RNA". The record is from RNAcentral.
GUAGGUGAACCUGCGGAAGGAUCAUUAGUGAAUUGAAUAUGUUAGCGGACCUCUUCGGAGUCCCUAGCAUCAAAUCAUAUCCAUAACACCUGAGAACUGUAAGGCUGUCUUGAAAACGAAAGUGAUUAGAGCGCCUGCCCAUUUUAUACAAACAUUAAAGUAACAAACGUAGUCUUAUUAUAAUCUAAUAAAACUUUCAACAACGGAUCUCUUGGCUCUC